RNAcentral lists this ribosomal RNA (543 nucleotides) under uncultured bacterium. Its description in RNAcentral is "partial 16S ribosomal RNA". It matches the Rfam family "Bacterial small subunit ribosomal RNA", at positions 355 to 889 of the family's 1533-position model. The record is from RNAcentral.
UGGGGAAUUUUGGACAAUGGGCGAAAGCCUGAUCCAGCAAUGCCGCGUGUGUGAAGAAGGCCUUCGGGUUGUAAAGCACUUUUGUCCGGGAAAAGAAAUCCUUGGCUCUAAUACAGUCGGGGGAUGACGUACCGGAAGAAUAAGCACCGGCUAACUACGUGCCAGCAGCCGCGGUAAUACGUAGGGUGCAAGCGUUAAUCGGAAUUACUGGGCGUAAAGCGUGCGCAGGCGGUUUGCUAAGACCGAUGUGAAAUCCCCGGGCUCAACCUGGGAACUGCAUUGGUGACUGGCAGGCUAGAGUAUGGCAGAGGGGGGUAGAAUUCCACGUGUAGCAGUGAAAUGCGUAGAGAUGUGGAGGAAUACCGAUGGCGAAGGCAGCCCCCUGGGCCAAUACUGACGCUCAUGCACGAAAGCGUGGGGAGCAAACAGGAUUAGAUACCCUGGUAGUCCACGCCCUAAACGAUGUCAACUAGUUGUUGGGGAUUCAUUUUCCUUAGUAACGUAGCUGACGCGUGAAGUUGACCGCCUGGGGAGUACGGUCGC